GUAGGUGGCAAGCGUUGUCCGGAAUUAUUGGGCGUAAAGCGCGCGCAGGCGGUCCUUUAAGUCUGAUGUGAAAGCCCACGGCUCAACCGUGGAGGGUCAUUGGAAACUGGGGGACUUGAGUACAGAAGAGGAAAGCGGAAUUCCAAGUGUAGCGGUGAAAUGCGUAGAGAUUUGGAGGAACACCAGUGGCGAAGGCGGCUUUCUGGUCUGUAACUGACGCUGAGGCGCGAAAGCGUGGGGAGCAAACAGGAUUAGAUACCCUGGUAGUCCACGCCGUAAACGAUGAGUGCUAAGUGUUAGGGGGUUUCCCGCCCCCCUUAGUGCUGCAGCUAACGCAUUAAGCACUCCGCCUGGGGAGUACGGCCACAAGGCUG
RNAcentral lists this ribosomal RNA (374 nucleotides) under uncultured organism. RNAcentral's name for it is "partial 16S ribosomal RNA". It matches the Rfam family "Bacterial small subunit ribosomal RNA", at positions 527 to 896 of the family's 1533-position model. The record is from RNAcentral.